Phacochoerus africanus (Common warthog) is the source of this 667-nucleotide long non-coding RNA. RefSeq lists it as uncharacterized. The record is from RefSeq and is a predicted model, not a curated record. NCBI's taxonomy places the organism in Eukaryota, Metazoa, Chordata, Mammalia, Artiodactyla, Suidae. The transcript has 4 exons.
GAUUUUGAAAAAGAAAUUGCAAAUUACAUCAGCAACAUACAGGCUUAUCUCCUGCAGAAGCAGAAUUUAAUUACCUGAACACAGCACGUACCUUAGAACUCUAUGGAGUUGAAUUCCAUUAUGCAAGGGAUCAAAGUAACAAUGAAAUUAUGAUUGGAGUAAUGUCAGGAGGAAUUCUGAUUUACAUGAACAGAGAACGAAUGAAUACUUUUCCAUGGUUUCUCAGAGAAUUGAGGACACAGGGCAUACUGCAGCUCUGCAAACUGGAGAGACAGAUGAAUACAAGGAGUGACAGCUUACCAGGACUAGAAGCCACUGCUGCUGCAGCAAUACUUACAGGGUAAUUGACAAAUUGCUGGAAACUGAGCAAAGACUAGCCUGACAGAAACUCCUGGAGGCCCUGCUUAGAAAGGGUACGACACUUUCAUGAGUUUUAAUACCAGCCACUCCACCAGGUUCCCAGGGAGAAGACUGGAGAAAAAUCCACUUGUGCUCUAGUGGGCGGGGGGUGGGGGUUGAGCAGGAAAGUAACCAUCUUGAAAUAUGCUCAGAGCUUCCUGUUCUCCUUAACAAAGAUCUGUUUUUACCAACACUUAACCAAGAUGGGUCUUACCAGAGCCUACCCAAGGUGGGGCAAGGGCAGUACCCUUUUCCAUCCCUCUCUGUA